AGGCUAUAUACAGCAGGUUCCGGUACAGAGUCAAUAUGGUGGCUAUAUACAGCAUGUUCCGUUACAGAGUCUAUAUGGAGGCUAUAUGCCGCAAAUUCCGGUACAGAGUCAAUAUGGAGGCUGUAGACAGCAGGUUCCGGAAAAGAGUCAAUAUGGAGGCUAUAUACUGCAGGUUCCGGUACAGAGUCAAUAUGGAGGCUAUAUGCAGCAGAUUCCGGUACAGAGUCAAUAUGGAGGCUAUAUACAGCAGGUUCCGGUACAGAGUCAAUAUGGAGGCUAUAUACAGCAGGUUCCAGUACAGAGUCAAUAUGGAGGCUAUAUGCAGCAGAGUCCGGUACAGAGUAAAUAUGCAGGCUAUAUACAGCAGGUUCUGAUACAGAGUCAAUAUGCGGGGGCACCG
Molecule: long non-coding RNA, 400 nt
Organism: Oncorhynchus tshawytscha (Chinook salmon)
Lineage: Eukaryota; Metazoa; Chordata; Actinopteri; Salmoniformes; Salmonidae
Source: Ensembl